Molecule: ribosomal RNA, 468 nt
Filed under: uncultured bacterium
Lineage: Bacteria
Description: partial 16S ribosomal RNA
Rfam family: Bacterial small subunit ribosomal RNA
Source: RNAcentral
GACGAACGCUGGCGGCGUGCUUAACACAUGCAAGUCGAACGGAAAGGCCCUGCUUUUGUGGGGUGCUCGAGUGGCGAACGGGUGUGUAACACGUGAGUAACCUGCCCUUGACUUUGGGAUAACUUCAGGAAACUGGGGCUAAUACCGGAUAGGAGCUCCUGCUGCAUGGGGGGGGUUGGAAAGUUUCGGCGGUUGGGGAUGGACUCGCGGCUUAUCAGCUUGUUGGUGGGGUAGUGGCUUACCAAGGCUUUGACGGGUAGCCGGCCUGAGAGGGUGACCGGCCACAUUGGGACUGAGAUACGGCCCAGACUCCUACGGGAGGCAGCAGUGGGGAAUAUUGCACAAUGGGCGGAAGCCUGAUGCAGCAACGCCGCGUGCGGGAUGACGGCCUUCGGGUUGUAAACCGCUUUCGCCUGUGACGAAGCGUGAGUGACGGUAAUGGGUAAAGAAGCACCGGCUAACUACGUG